GAGCGGCGAACGGGUGAGUAACACGUGAGUAACCUGCCCUAGGCUUUGGGAUAACCCUCGGAAACGGGGGCUAAUACCGAAUAUGACUUCCUGCCGCAUGGUGGGGGGUGGAAAGUUUUUCGGCCUGGGAUGGACUCGCGGCCUAUCAGCUUGUUGGUGGGGUAAUGGCCUACCAAGGCGACGACGGGUAGCCGGCCUGAGAGGGCGACCGGCCACACUGGGACUGAGACACGGCCCAGACUCCUACGGGAGGCAGCAGUGGGGAAUAUUGCACAAUGGGCGAAAGCCUGAUGCAGCGACGCCGCGUGAGGGAUGACGGCCUUCGGGUUGUAAACCUCUUUCAGCAGGGACGAAGCGAAAGUGACGGUACCUGCAGAAGAAGCGCCGGCCAACUACGUGCCAGCAGCCGCGGUAAGACGUAGGGCGCGAGCGUUGUCCGGAUUUAUUGGGCGUAAAGAGCUCGUAGGCGGCUUGUCGCGUCGACUGUGAAAACCCGCAGCUCAACUGCGGGCCUGCAGUCGAUACGGGCAGGCUAGAGUUCGGUAGGGGAGACUGGAAUUCCUGGUGUAGCGGUGGAAUGCGCAGAUAUCAGGAGGAACACCGGUGGCGAAGGCGGGUCUCUGGGCCGAUACUGACGCUGAGGAGCGAAAGCGUGGGGAGCGAACAGGAUUAGAUACCCUGGUAGUCCACGCUGUAAACGU
This 701-nucleotide ribosomal RNA is filed under the name Micromonospora sp. Its description in RNAcentral is "bacterial SSU rRNA". It matches the Rfam family "Bacterial small subunit ribosomal RNA", at positions 93 to 809 of the family's 1533-position model. The record is from RNAcentral. Lineage: Bacteria; Bacillati; Actinomycetota; Actinomycetes; Micromonosporales; Micromonosporaceae.